Panicum virgatum (switchgrass) is the source of this 437-nucleotide long non-coding RNA. RefSeq lists it as uncharacterized. The record is from RefSeq and is a predicted model, not a curated record. The transcript is spliced from 2 exons. Lineage: Eukaryota; Viridiplantae; Streptophyta; Magnoliopsida; Poales; Poaceae.
CUGGCUCGUUCAUGUCGUACUCAUCCUCCAUUUCCUCAACAUCGCCGCCGUAAUAAUCAGGCAUGCCUAUAUCACAGCCAGGGGCGAAGACAUGGGUUUACACCCGAUAAUUUUUUGCAAAAGAAAAAAUCGAGAUUAGUAGGAAGGGAAGAGAAGGGGCGGGCAUACCUGCAGGGUGCUCCUCGCCGGCGAAGAGCCAGACGCAGACCUGGCGAAGGGCCCGAUGAAGACCAGGGUACCUGGCGUAGGGCGGCGGCGCUCGCCCCAGUCGUCGCCGCUAGAAAGAAGGCCCCACGAGAGAUAGAGGGUGAACGGGAGAAAGAAAAGGCAGCGAAAGGAGGGAGAACGGGGGAACGAAGCGCUGAUUUUUUUAAUGAGUUGUUAGACUCCGUAAAACUAUUUUUACUAGUAGAAUACCUGUAUCUUGCUACGAUUGA